UAUCAUAGGAUAUUAUCAGCCGGGCCUUUUUCUUUUCAUUCGAGUCAAGGGUAAAAUUGAGCUUCUGUUUGGCUUGCCGUGCAGGACUUUGUGCACUCGCUGGGCAUCCAGAAGAGGAGGCUGCGGAAGCACAAGGGUGCUGUCAACACCAUAAGCUUCAACAGUAGCGGGAGCUUGCUCCUGUCUGCUUCGGACGACGAUUUCUCUCUGAGCUCCAACAUUGGCGCUCGCGGUGCCACCUGACAUGUUCAGUCUCAUCAUACUUUGCUACUUGACAAGGAGAAGAAGGAGCACGCUCAGGAGAAGAAGGAGCAAGCCCAGGAGAAAAACAACGAGCAGGAGAAGAGGGGAGCAAGCCCAACUUAAAUUAUUGUUGUUUAUGUUGCUACACGCUUGUUGAUCCGUCAGACUCCACGGCUGCUCCGCAUCGUCCACACAUAGGACAAGGGCGUCAUGGCCAACCAAGGCGCAUGGUGCUCGCAAGCGACGAGCGGAGGUUGUUUGACAUCGGCAUGGAGGAGGAGGACGGGAAUGGAUGGAGGACAGAGCACCUCUCUUCUUCCAGGUUCUUCUCCUUAUCUUCACUUAAUGUAUGUGCAUGUGCUGCAGCUCACCCAUGGUCUUGUUUGUCUUGCAGGUUAGUGAGUAGCUUCAGGAGGAGCUCAAGCACGACUACCAAGAGGCACCACCGCAGCAACAGGGCGACUGUGGAAGGCAUGUUGUAUUUCUGUCAGCCCAGUCCUGACUAUGUCUGUCCGUGAGUCCGACAUUUGAUCGUUGUUGAAGGAGCUCCAUGCUGAAGAAGAGAACACUUGUAGAGAUUGUAACAUUACUUGGAGAGCUUGUAAAGUACUGUAGAGCUUUGCAUUUGUAGAGCUUGUAAAGCAUUGUAUAUGCUAGAGCUUGUAUUACGUGUCAUUUGUAGAGCUUGUAGUGAAUCUGGCUAUUGUUAUUUGAAUAAUUAUGUGUGUUUUUUGCUUGCCUA
Molecule: long non-coding RNA, 985 nt
Organism: Triticum aestivum (bread wheat)
Lineage: Eukaryota; Viridiplantae; Streptophyta; Magnoliopsida; Poales; Poaceae
Exons: 4
Source: RefSeq, a predicted model, not a curated record